Alosa alosa (allis shad) is the source of this 1351-nucleotide long non-coding RNA. RefSeq lists it as uncharacterized. NCBI's taxonomy places the organism in Eukaryota, Metazoa, Chordata, Actinopteri, Clupeiformes, Clupeidae. The record is from RefSeq and is a predicted model, not a curated record. The transcript has 3 exons.
GCCUCCCGAUCCGAGGUGCUGCUGUUCGCGGGUUCGAGUCCGGGCGUGUGCAGGGCUGAAUCGCGCAGGUUACACAGGCAGUGAUAGAUCUGGGGCUAUUCCAAAAACAUCGGGGGCUAUAGUCCUGAAUGCCCAGGCCUAACGACGCCACUGAUGUCAGAUACAGGAUAUGCAGCAGGAUAAGCCAGUCGAGUGGGAAUUGAGGACCAGCUAGGAAUGAAUAGUCUAAUGCUGCAUCAUUAGUCUUAUUCAGGCAAGUACAAAUAUAUGUAUGCAUUAUAUAAUAUUGAUGUUGUUAGUAUUUGCCAUUAUUCACUCAGUAAUGUAAUAUAAAAUUGUAGCUACACUGUAGAUCAUAGUUUUAAUAUCACAAAAUCACUGUAUGCGCUUGUGUUUUUCUGUGACGGUUCAGUAGCCUAUUGACAGUAUGUUAAUCUGCAAUAAGCAUUGAGAUGAGACGUGAAGCUGUUAUCCAUAGCCUCAUUUUGUACCUUGGCAAAGAAGAUAAUUUUUUUGAAGAUUGCCAGGUUAUUUUUUAAAUCCGUCAAUUAGCAGGGUCCCCAAAUGUAGCUACAGAGUGAGUGUUCUUUGCUUUACUUUCCAGGGAGAAAUCAUUCCAGUAGGUCAUGUUGUUCCAGCCUUCUGCUUUGAAGUGCUGAGUUCACAGCUCUCAAUCAACUUCAUGUGAUUUACGGUCUGGCAAUGAAGUCGCUAUGAAUGAUUGAAGAAAUUCUGUUUUGUCUCUCAACUCUCUUUUUUUCUUGUAAAUUGUAUGCAGGAGGACCGUCACAGUGAUGCCACGCAACACAUUCUCAAGAUCCUGGUUGUCCAUGGUGCUAAUGGAGAGGAUCCAGUGGCUGUAUCUAUCCUUCUUGAAGGCAAAGAGAUGUUACAAGGAUGCAGCAGCACUGCUAAAGCUUGCACACUGCUUAUGGGACUGAUUUAUGACCUCAACCUUGCAUACCCCCCAAACACUGGGUUACACUUUUUAGGUGUUUCAGAAACUAUUCCUAGAAAUUGAUGGGAUUAAGCUGUCCCAAAAAAAAACUCCACCGGACCCUCAGCUCAUCUACAGUAACAUAAUGAACUGAUGGACCUUCCAGAUGCAAACUUGUAGUAACAGUGGAGUACUUGUUACCAGACUUUGAGCCUAUUACACGGUGUGGCGCCCCUGGUGGUUUGACGCCUUGGGAAGUUGCCCAUUGUCCAUGCCUGCCGCCGGCCCUGCUAGCAACCAUCCCAAUUACCCUGGUGAUAUUGAUAAGAGGUCCUGAGAAACAGCCUUCCUCUUGUCACAAGCAAUUGAACAUCAGCUUUUUUUUUAUCUCACUGCACUGAUUUUAGAUUUAUU